RNAcentral lists this ribosomal RNA (253 nucleotides) under uncultured bacterium. RNAcentral describes it as "partial 16S ribosomal RNA". It matches the Rfam family "Bacterial small subunit ribosomal RNA", at positions 524 to 776 of the family's 1533-position model. The record is from RNAcentral.
UACGAAGGGAGCUAGCGUUGUUCGGAAUCACUGGGCGUAAAGCGCACGUAGGCGGAUGUGUCAGUCAGGGGUGAAAUCCCGGAGCUCAACUUCGGAACUGCCUUUGAUACAGCACGUCUUGAGUCCGAUAGAGGUGGGUGGAAUUCCUAGUGUAGAGGUGAAAUUCGUAGAUAUUGGGAAGAACACCGGUGGCGAAGGCGGCUCUCUGGACCGAGACUGACGCUGAGGCGCGAAAGCGUGGGGAGCAAACAGG